RNAcentral lists this ribosomal RNA (650 nucleotides) under uncultured bacterium. RNAcentral's name for it is "bacterial SSU rRNA". It matches the Rfam family "Bacterial small subunit ribosomal RNA", at positions 66 to 711 of the family's 1533-position model. The record is from RNAcentral.
UUGGGAGGAUGGAGCUGCUUCAGGCGUCGAGUGGCGGACGGGUGAGUAACGCUUAGGAAUCUGCCCAGUAGUGGGGGACAACAUUCGGAAACGGAUGCUAAUACCGCAUACGCACUACGGUGGAAAGUGGGGGAUCUUCGGACCUCACGCUAUUGGAUGAGCCUAAGUCGGAUUAGCUAGUUGGUGGGGUAAAGGCCUACCAAGGCGACGAUCCGUAGCUGGUCUGAGAGGACGAUCAGCCACACUGGGACUGAGACACGGCCCAGACUCCUACGGGAGGCAGCAGUGGGGAAUAUUGGACAAUGGGCGCAAGCCUGAUCCAGCAAUGCCGCGUGUGUGAAGAAGGCCUGCGGGUUGUAAAGCACUUUCAGUAAGGAAGAAAAGCCUAGAGUUAAUACCUCUGAGUCUUGACGUUACUUACAGAAGAAGCACCGGCUAACUCCGUGCCAGCAGCCGCGGUAAUACGGAGGGUGCGAGCGUUAAUCGGAAUUACUGGGCGUAAAGCGCGCGUAGGCGGCUUUGUAAGUCGGACGUGAAAUCCCCGGGCUUAACCUGGGAACUGCAUUCGAUACUGCAGAACUAGAGUAUGGUAGAGGGAAGUGGAAUUUCCGGUGUAGCGGUGAAAUGCGUAGAUAUCGGAAGGAACACCA